This 142-nucleotide unclassified non-coding RNA is filed under the name uncultured Helotiales. RNAcentral's name for it is "sequence contains ITS2". The record is from RNAcentral. Lineage: Eukaryota; Fungi; Ascomycota; Leotiomycetes; Helotiales.
UAACCCUCAAGCCUAGCUUGGUGUUGGAGCCUGCCUCUGGGCAGCUCUUAAAAUCAGUGGCGGUGCCGUCUGGCUCUAAGCGUAGUAAUUUUUCUCGCUACAGGGUCCUGCGGUUGCUUGCCAACAACCCCAAAUUUUCUAU